RNAcentral lists this non-coding RNA (30 nucleotides) under Rattus norvegicus (Norway rat). Lineage: Eukaryota; Metazoa; Chordata; Mammalia; Rodentia; Muridae. The record is from RNAcentral.
UCUAGCAGAUGCCUGAUGGAGCAGAACAGU